UAUCUUGAUAUUCCUAAUUUCUAUGGGUUUUACCAAUAUAGAAGAAUUUUUAGAUUGGAUUGUGAAUGUGGAUAGAUUCUUUGACUAUGUGGAUAUAGCACCCGAAAAACAAGUUCAAUUGGUGACUUGUCGACUGAAAGGUGAUGCUUCUGCUUGGUAGCAAUGACUACAAUCUAGAAAGAAGUGAGAAGGUAAAGGACCAGUUCGUACAUGGUGUAUUAUGAAAUAUUUG
Molecule: unclassified non-coding RNA, 232 nt
Filed under: Hevea brasiliensis (rubber tree)
Lineage: Eukaryota; Viridiplantae; Streptophyta; Magnoliopsida; Malpighiales; Euphorbiaceae
Source: RNAcentral